UGCAAUCAGGGGGUCGUCGGUUCGAUCCCGACAGGCUCCACCA
This 43-nucleotide transfer RNA is filed under the name Xanthomonas campestris. RNAcentral describes it as "partial tRNA-Ala". Lineage: Bacteria; Pseudomonadati; Pseudomonadota; Gammaproteobacteria; Lysobacterales; Lysobacteraceae. The record is from RNAcentral.